RNAcentral lists this long non-coding RNA (1288 nucleotides) under Monodelphis domestica (gray short-tailed opossum). RNAcentral's name for it is "lncRNA (ENSMODG00000037490.1)". Lineage: Eukaryota; Metazoa; Chordata; Mammalia; Didelphimorphia; Didelphidae. The record is from RNAcentral.
AUGCGUAUUGAUCAUGGUGACCGGAUGAGGCGGUGCUUCAGGAGCUGGAACUGCAGCUCAGGAUUCCCAUUGGUUCCUCAUGGCAAAGGCGAGGACAUGCUUGUUGAAGUUCCCAUCACCAGGUCCUCGAACACAUCACCCUCCUGUGUCCUCGGAACAUUCUCCUGCCCCUCAGCGUUCUCUCUAAAACCCAGGGUGCCCAGAAUGGAAUCUAACACAGCGACAGACGGCAAUACUAACGGCAGCUGGGAUCGACGGGCAGGUGUCUCUCGUGGGCCCAUCGUCUAGGGGCUGAGCUGCCGAGAAAAUGAUAACUUCAUCAGCUGUGGAAAAUCUGGUCUGUUUUCAUCAAAAAUGCAAUGUCCCCCCAAAAGAAAAAUGUAAUGUAAAAAAUGUAACAUCCCCCCAAAAGAAAAAUACAAUGUCCCCUCAAAAGACAAAUGUAAUGUAAAAAAUGUAACAUCCCCCCAAAAGAAAAAUACAAUGUCCCCUCCAAAGAAAAAUGUACAUCCCCCAAAAGAAAAAUGCAUGUCUCCCAAAAGAAAAUGUUAUGUCCCCCCAAAGAAAAAUGCAUGUCCCCCUAAGAAAAUGUAUGUAAAAAAUGUAACAUCUCUCCAAAGAAAAAUGCCAUGUCCCUCCAAAGAAAAAGUAAUGCCCCCCAAAAGAAAAAUGAAAAUCCCCCCAAACCGAGGGGGGAAACCAAACAUUCAAAAGAGCUGGGUGUGUUAAGCACCCAUUGUGCGCAAGGCCAGGGCACCUGAGGGACAGCCAGUGUGUAUAAGGAAAGGAUUUCCUAUGAAGGGGCUUUUCUUACUUGGGGAGGAAAAAGAUGACCCUCCAAGCUGCUGGUAAAGAAAUGGCCUUUGGUGAUUGGCAUCUCCUUUUCCCUGAAGUAAGUCACUGGGGCGGCAUUUGGAGAGGGAAAGGGGGAGCCCCCCCCCAGCACAUUAUUACUGAGCAGCACUUACUUGUAGGUGAAAAAUUAUUCUAAUUUAUGUUGAGCUUUUCAUUUAAUUGUCACUCGCUGAGAGGCCUUUUGCAAUACUGAUUCCCUCUCGGCAGUUACAGAUGGAUCUUGGCUCCAGAAAUUCCCUGCCCGCGGUUACAAUGAGGCAUCGUGACAGUGGACACACCGGGCCCCCACCUCCAGAUGCCCCCAAGCGAGGUUCUGACAAGGCCUGGCCAGGACAGAUAAUCUUAUGGAAGGAAAGCAUUCUAAGAAAAUGAAGAAACGGGGCAGCUGGGUAGCUCAGUGGAUUGAGAGCUAGCCCUAGAGAGGGCAGGUCCA